Molecule: ribosomal RNA, 600 nt
Filed under: Marinobacter flavimaris
Lineage: Bacteria; Pseudomonadati; Pseudomonadota; Gammaproteobacteria; Pseudomonadales; Marinobacteraceae
Description: bacterial SSU rRNA
Rfam family: Bacterial small subunit ribosomal RNA
Source: RNAcentral
CAGCGCAGCUACACAUGCAAGUCGAGCGGUAACAGGGGGUGCUUGCACCCCGCUGACGAGCGGCGGACGGGUGAGUAAUGCAUAGGAAACUGCCCAGUAGUGGGGGAUAGCCCGGGGAAACCCGGAUUAAUACCGCGUACGCCCUUCGGGGGAAAGCAGGGGAUCUUCGGACCUUGCGCUAUUGGAUGUGCCUAUGUCGGAUUAGCUAGUUGGUGGGGUAAAGGCCUACCAAGGCGACGAUCCGUAGCUGGUCUGAGAGGAUGAUCAGCCACAUCGGGACUGAGACACGGCCCGAACUCCUACGGGAGGCAGCAGUGGGGAAUAUUGGACAAUGGGGGCAACCCUGAUCCAGCCAUGCCGCGUGUGUGAAGAAGGCUUUCGGGUUGUAAAGCACUUUCAGUGAGGAGGAAAACUCUGCGACUAAUACUCGUAGGGCUUGACGUUACUCACAGAAGAAGCACCGGCUAACUCCGUGCCAGCAGCCGCGGUAAUACGGAGGGUGCAAGCGUUAAUCGGAAUUACUGGGCGUAAAGCGCGCGUAGGUGGUUUGAUAAGCGAGAUGUGAAAGCCCCGGGCUUAACCUGGGAACGGCAUUUCGAA